Molecule: long non-coding RNA, 241 nt
Filed under: Elaeis guineensis (African oil palm)
Lineage: Eukaryota; Viridiplantae; Streptophyta; Magnoliopsida; Arecales; Arecaceae
Description: long non-coding RNA (EGUI_LNC012751)
Source: RNAcentral
AAGGUCGAGGUUGUCUUUAGCUCUAUGAAAUAUUGAUCUCCGGAUCGAAGUUAUCUUGAAAUUAUAUUACAGAUCACCCCAAAUCUAAUUCUCCAGAUUAAUAGAUCCCCAAGAGGCAUAAAUGAAGAUAAAAUCUCCUAAAUACCUAUCUACAGUUCAAAGUUAUCUCUCAAGCUCUAUAAAAUAUCGAUCUGAAGGUCGAAGUUAUCUUUCAGUUCUAUAAAAUAUCGAUAUGAAGAUU